This 1198-nucleotide ribosomal RNA is filed under the name uncultured bacterium. RNAcentral's name for it is "bacterial SSU rRNA". It matches the Rfam family "Bacterial small subunit ribosomal RNA", at positions 308 to 1513 of the family's 1533-position model. The record is from RNAcentral.
CCACAUUGGAACUGAGACACGGUCCAAACUCCUACGGGAGGCAGCAGUGAGGAAUAUUGCUCAAUCGACCUAAGUCUGAACCAGCCAAGUAGCGUGCAAGGAUCGACGGCCCUAUGGUUGUAAACUGGUUUUAUGCGGGAAUAAAGUGAGGGACACUUCCCUUUUUGCAGGUACCGCAUGAAUAAGGACCGGCUAAUUCCGUGCCAGCAGCCGCGGUAAUACGGAAGGUCCGGGCGUUAUCCGGAAUUAUUGGGUGUAAAGGGAGCGUAGGCCGCCGGGGCAAGCGUGUUCUCAAAUGCAGUCGCUCAACGUCUGCACUGCAGCGCGAACUGCCCAGCUUGAGUGCGCGCAACGUAGGCGGAAUUCGCCGUGUAGCGGUGAAAUGCUUAGAUAUGGCGAAGAACUCCGAUUGCGAAGGCAGCUCACGGGUGCGUAACUGACGCUCAUGCUCGAAAGUGCGGGUAUCGAACAGGAUUAGAUACCCUGGUAGUCCGCACGGUAAACGAUGGAUGCCCGCUAUUCGGCCGCCUGCGGUUGAGUGGCCAAGCGAAAGCGUUAAGCAUCCCACCUGGGGAGUACGCCGGCAACGGUGAAACUCAAAGGAAUUGACGGGGGCCCGCACAAGCGGAGGAACAUGUGGUCUAAUUCGAUGAUACGCGAGGAACCUUACCCGGGCUUGAAUUGCAGCCGAACGAUCCAGAGAUGGUGAGGCUUCGGGGCGGCUGUGAAGGUGCUGCAUGGUUGUCGUCAGCUCGUGCCGUGAGGUGUCGGCUUAAGUGCCAUAACGAGCGCAACCCCUCUCCCCAGUUGCCAUCGGGUAAUGCCGGGCACUCUGGGGACACUGCCACCGUAAGGUGCGAGGAAGGUGGGGAUGACGUCAAAUCAGCACGGCCCUUACGUCCGGGGCUACACACGUGUUACAAUGGCCGGUACAGAGAGCCGGGUCUGCGCAAGCAGUCUCCAAUCCCAAAAGCCGGCCUCAGUUCGGACUGGGGUCUGCAACCCGACCCCACGAAGCUGGAUUCGCUAGUAAUCGCGCAUCAGCCAUGGCGCGGUGAAUACGUUCCCGGGCCUUGUACACACCGCCCGUCAAGCCAUGAAAGCCGGGGGUGCUUGAAGUCCGUGACCGUUAAGGAUCGGCUUAGGGCAAAACUGGUAAUUGGGGCUAAGUCGUAACAAGGUAGCCGUAAGUUCACAA